GGGGAUAAGCGGAAGAAAUUCCGUCUAAUACCGCGUAAUAACUCCGAGAGGCAUCUCAUGGAGUUUAAAGGGUAACACCGGCUACGGAUGGCCAUGCGGCGCAUUAGCUAGUUGGCGGGGUAACGGCCCACCAAGGCGACGAUGCGUAGGGGUUCUGAGAGGAAGGUCCCCCACACUGGUACUGAGACACGGACCAGACUCCUACGGGAGGCAGCAGUGAGGAAUAUUGGUCAAUGGGCGCGAGCCUGAACCAGCCAAGUCGCGUGAGGGAAGACGGUCCUAUGGAUUGUAAACCUCUUUUGUCGGGGAGCAAAAGACGUCACGUGUGGCGUUCCGAGAGUACCCGAAGAAAAAGCAUCGGCUAACUCCGUGCCAGCAGCCGCGGUAAUACGGAGGAUGCGAGCGUUAUCCGGAUUUAUUGGGUUUAAAGGGUGCGCAGGCGGAAGAUCAAGUCAGCGGUAAAAUUGAGGGGCUCAACCUCUUCGAGCCGUUGAAACUGGUUUUCUUGAGUGAGCGAGAAGUAUGCGGAAUGCGUGGUGUAGCGGUGAAAUGCAUAGAUAUCACGCAGAACUCCGAUUGCGAAGGCAGCAUACCGGCGCUCAACUGACGCUCAUGCACGAAAGUGUGGGUAUCGAACAGGAUUAGAUACCCUGGUAGUCCACACAGGAAACGAUGAA
This 677-nucleotide ribosomal RNA is filed under the name uncultured bacterium. RNAcentral's name for it is "bacterial SSU rRNA". It matches the Rfam family "Bacterial small subunit ribosomal RNA", at positions 139 to 813 of the family's 1533-position model. The record is from RNAcentral.